RNAcentral lists this ribosomal RNA (1039 nucleotides) under Alternaria ethzedia. RNAcentral's name for it is "SSU rRNA". It matches the Rfam family "Eukaryotic small subunit ribosomal RNA", at positions 67 to 1116 of the family's 1831-position model. Lineage: Eukaryota; Fungi; Ascomycota; Dothideomycetes; Pleosporales; Pleosporaceae. The record is from RNAcentral.
AAGCAAUUAUACCGUGAAACUGCGAAUGGCUCAUUAAAUCAGUUAUCGUUUAUUUGAUAAUACCUUACUACUUGGAUAACCGUGGUAAUUCUAGAGCUAAUACAUGCUGAAAAUCCCGACUUCGGAAGGGAUGUGUUUAUUAGAUAAAAAACCAAUGCCCUUCGGGGCUCCUUGGUGAUUCAUGAUAACUUUACGGAUCGCAUAGCCUUGCGCUGGCGACGGUUCAUUCAAAUUUCUGCCCUAUCAACUUUCGAUGGUAAGGUAUUGGCUUACCAUGGUUUCAACGGGUAACGGGGAAUUAGGGUUCGAUUCCGGAGAGGCAGCCUGAGAAACGGCUACCACAUCCAAGGAAGGCAGCAGGCGCGCAAAUUACCCAAUCCCGACACGGGGAGGUAGUGACAAUAAAUACUGAUACAGGGCUCUUUUGGGUCUUGUAAUUGGAAUGAGUACAAUUCAAAUCUCUUAACGAGGAACAAUUGGAGGGCAAGUCUGGUGCCAGCAGCCGCGGUAAUUCCAGCUCCAAUAGCGUAUAUUAAAGUUGUUGCAGUUAAAAAGCUCGUAGUUGAAACUUGGGCCUGGCUGGCGGGUCCGCCUCACCGCGUGCACUCGUCCGGCCGGGCCUUCCUUCUGAAGAACCUCAUGCCCUUCACUGGGCGUGCUGGGGAAUCAGGACUUUUACUUUGAAAAAAUUAGAGUGUUCAAAGCAGGCCUUUGCUCGAAUACGUUAGCAUGGAAUAAUAAAAUAGGGCGUGCGUUUCUAUUUUGUUGGUUUCUAGAGACGCCGCAAUGAUUAACAGGAACAGUCGGGGGCAUCAGUAUUCAGUUGUCAGAGGUGAAAUUCUUGGAUUUACUGAAGACUAACUACUGCGAAAGCAUUUGCCAAGGAUGUUUUCAUUAAUCAGUGAACGAAAGUUAGGGGAUCGAAGACGAUCAGAUACCGUCGUAGUCUUAACCGUAAACUAUGCCGACUAGGGAUCGGGCGAUGUUCUUUUUCUGACUCGCUCGGCACCUUACGAGAAAUCAAAGUUUUUGGGUUCUG